UACGUAGGGUGCGAGCGUUGUCCGGAAUCAUUGGGCGUAAAGCGCGUGUAGGCGGCCCGGUAAGUCCGCUGUGAAAGUCGGGGGCUCAACCCUCGAAUGCCGGUGGAUACUGUCGGGCUAGAGUGCGGGAGAGGCGAGUGGAAUUCCUGGUGAUAGCGGUGAAAUGCGCAGAUAUCAGGAGGAACACCAAUUGCGAAGGCAGCUCGCUGGAACGUAACUGACGCUGGAGAACGCGAAAGCGUGGGGGAGCAAACAGG
Molecule: ribosomal RNA, 257 nt
Filed under: uncultured bacterium
Lineage: Bacteria
Description: partial 16S ribosomal RNA
Rfam family: Bacterial small subunit ribosomal RNA
Source: RNAcentral